This 460-nucleotide ribosomal RNA is filed under the name bacterium CR39. Its description in RNAcentral is "bacterial SSU rRNA". It matches the Rfam family "Bacterial small subunit ribosomal RNA", at positions 111 to 584 of the family's 1533-position model. The record is from RNAcentral.
UAACACGUGAGCUAACCUGCCCUCCACUUCGUGGAUAACCUCGGGAAAUCCUGGCUAAAACCGGAAAUGAGCACUCAUCGCAUGGAGGGUGUUGGAAAGAUUUAUCGGUGGGGGAUGGACUCGCGACCUAUCACUUUGUUGGUGAGGUGAUGGCUCACCAAGACGAUGACGGGUAGCCGGCCUGAGAGGGCGACCGGCCACACUGGGACUGACACACGGCCCACACUCCUACGGGAGGCCGCCGUGGGGAAUAUUGCACAAUGGGCGAAAGCCUGAUGCAGCGACACCGCGUGGGGGAUGACGGCCUUCGGGUUGUAAACCCCUUUCAGUAGGGAAGAAGCGAGAGUGACGGUACCUGCCAAGAAGCGCCGGCUAACUACGUGCCAGCAGCCGCGGUAAUACGUAGGGCGCAAGCGUUGUCCGGAAUUAUUGGGCGUAAAGAGCUUGUAGGUGGGUUGUC